This 19-nucleotide microRNA is filed under the name Mus musculus (house mouse). RNAcentral describes it as "mmu-miR-713". Its record names the gene mmu-miR-713. The record is from miRBase by way of RNAcentral. Lineage: Eukaryota; Metazoa; Chordata; Mammalia; Rodentia; Muridae.
UGCACUGAAGGCACACAGC